RNAcentral lists this ribosomal RNA (253 nucleotides) under uncultured bacterium. RNAcentral's name for it is "partial 16S ribosomal RNA". It matches the Rfam family "Bacterial small subunit ribosomal RNA", at positions 524 to 776 of the family's 1533-position model. The record is from RNAcentral.
UACGGAGGGUGCAAACGUUGCUCGGAAUUAUUGGGCGUAAAGCGCACGUAGGCGGUCCGCUAAGUCGGGUGUGAAAUCCCUCGGCUUAACCGAGGAAGUGCAUUCGAAACUGGCGGGCUUGAGUACUGAAGAGGGUCGCGGAAUUCCCGGUGUAGAGGUGAAAUUCGUAGAUAUCGGGAGGAACACCAGUGGCGAAGGCGGCGACCUGGGCAGAUACUGACGCUGAGGUGCGAAAGCGUGGGGAGCAAACAGG